UACGUAGGGGGUGAGCGUUGUCCGGAUUUAUUGGGCGUAAAGAGCUCGUAGGCGGCUGGGCAAGUCGGGUGUGAAAACUCCAGGCUCAACUUGGAGACGCCACUUGAUACUGCCCUGGCUUGAGUCCGGUAGGGGAGCGCGGAAUUCCUGGUGUAGCAGUGAAAUGCGCAGAGAUCAGGAGGAACACCGGUGGCGAAGGCGGCGCUCUGGGCCGGUACUGACGCUGAGGAGCGAAAGCGUGGGGAGCGAACAGG
RNAcentral lists this ribosomal RNA (254 nucleotides) under uncultured bacterium. RNAcentral's name for it is "partial 16S ribosomal RNA". It matches the Rfam family "Bacterial small subunit ribosomal RNA", at positions 524 to 776 of the family's 1533-position model. The record is from RNAcentral.